RNAcentral lists this long non-coding RNA (1191 nucleotides) under Olea europaea subsp. europaea. The record is from RNAcentral. Lineage: Eukaryota; Viridiplantae; Streptophyta; Magnoliopsida; Lamiales; Oleaceae.
GUGAUGAGAGAGUUGUCAUCACACAGGGAAUAAGGAUUAAUUCUAGUAUAUUUGAUAUAUUUAAAUUUAUGUUUGUAACUAAAAGACGAUCGAAAGAAUAGCUAAAUAAUUUUUAUAACUAAAACUUGUGAAAAGAAUGAAAAUUGGUUUAAAAAUCAAAUAUGCGAACGUAUUGGAUUUUCGACGCUACUGAUCAAUUCUUAAUUCUAAUUCUCAACCAAUAACAAUUAUCUCAAUUCAUGCAAUUGCGACGAUCGGUAAUUCCACUUUUAUUUAUUAUUCUUUUCCAAGAUAUAUUAAACCUAUGUUUACCACGAGAGAAUCCUAUUCAUAGUCUGAAUUCAUAUGACAAACAUGCAUUUAUAUUUAGGAUUAUCACAAAUGAUCGCAGACGCCACAAAUAUUAUUCCUGACAUUUAUUGCUCGUACAUCCCAAUAAUAGUGUUCUACUUAUCGUGAGUUUUUCAACACUAAGAAUAAGCAAUUUAUUGUCGUAAUAGUGCGCAAACAUUAAAAUAAUAUAAUUAUGCACAUUAAUAAAAUCACAACACAAUAAUUAAGAUAAAAAUACAGGUCUCGAAUUAAAACUAAGAAUUAAAUAGUUAUGUCAUCCAUCCAAUAUAUGAAAAUAUUUAGCCUAGCAUAAGAUAGGAAUUAAACGCGUAAAAUUGGAGAGACAUCACCGAGAAAUUGAUGGAACGUGAUUAACUCCACGAAUUUUCUCCACUUUUGCACGUGCGUGGCUUGUCUAGGUAGAUAUGUUUUUCCCCCAAUUGGCUUGUAAACAAAUUCCCCAACAAGCUGCCCCUUUUUUUGCAGUCUCCAAUUUAGAAUCAAAUCCCCUUCCUUUUCCUUGUAUAUUGUAGCAGCCAACACUGUGUAUGUGACUCCCCACAAUGUUGCUAAUUUUAUUGACUAUAAUUUUCUCCAACUCCUUCCCAAAUCCAGCUGCCUUUUUGUCUAUAUAUCAUAAAACUCAACAGCUCUUUUUCCUUUUCCCAUCUUGUCUGCCAGUGUACAGGAUGCGUAUGUAUACUUUUAAAUUCAGCAAAAGCCCCCAAAAAUGUUUUUCCUCCAAGUUGGCAUGUGAAAUAUAUAAAGGCAGCUGCAGUUUUCUUUCAAUUCCUCCCACAGCCGCCCUAUUGAUCCGAUUGGCGUGUUUUUUAAUCCCCUAAGAUGGCAGCCCUUUUU